RNAcentral lists this ribosomal RNA (525 nucleotides) under Triticum aestivum (bread wheat). RNAcentral describes it as "partial small subunit ribosomal RNA". Lineage: Eukaryota; Viridiplantae; Streptophyta; Magnoliopsida; Poales; Poaceae. The record is from RNAcentral.
AUGAACUAUAGUAUGCAAGGGAUGACGAAAACGAUUCCCGAGUUUUUCAUGAUGAUGAAAUCGAUGAAGGUAGAAAUCAAGAAAGAGCAUCAAGUGUUGAUGGUUGACAAGACCACUAGUUUCAAGGAAAAUGGCAAAGGGAAGAAGGGGAACUUCAAGAAGAACGGCAAGCAAGUUGCUGCUCAAGUGAAGAAGCCCAAGUCUGGACCUAAACCUGAGACUAAGUGCUUCUACUGCAAAGGGAUUGGUCACUGGAAGCGGAAUUGCCCCAAGUAUUUGGCGGAUAAGAAGGAUGGCAAAGUGAACAAAGGUAUAUUUGAUAUACAUGUUAUUGAUGUGUACCUUACUAGUGUUUAUAGAAACCCCUCAGUAUUUGAUACUAGUUCAGUUGCUAAGAUUAGUAACUCGAAACGGGAGUUGCAGAAUGAACAGAAACUAGUUAAGGGCGAGGUGACGAUGUGUGUUGAAAGUAGUUCCAAGAUUGAUAUGAUCAUCAUCGCACACUCCCUAUACUUUCGGGAUUAG